This 196-nucleotide unclassified non-coding RNA is filed under the name fungal sp. Its description in RNAcentral is "partial internal transcribed spacer region". The stretch from base 1 to 46 matches the Rfam family "Eukaryotic small subunit ribosomal RNA", at positions 1786 to 1831 of the family's 1831-position model. The record is from RNAcentral. Lineage: Eukaryota; Fungi.
AAGUCGUAACAAGGUUUCCGUAGGUGAACCUGCGGAAGGAUCAUUAUAAAUCUGCGUAAAGGAGGCGGUCGCAAGACUGCUCUUCUUUACAUUUGUUCGAGGCAGCAAUGCUUCGCAACACUUGCGCUUGUUUUGUUUGACAGAGUAAAUUAUCGUUUAAAAAAGACAACUUUUAACAAUGGAUCUCUUGGCUCUU